CCCUAUGGGGUGCGGCCUGGAGAGGCAACGGCCCAGUACAUCAAGAACGUGCUCGACAGGAUUGUGCUGCCCACCGCUAUUUUCCUUGCAUUCCUUGCUAUCGUGCCCAAUAUUGCAAUGCGCAAUCAGCAGAUUCCCGCGUUCGCGUUUGGCGGAACUUCUCUGCUUAUCAUUAUUGGUGUUGCACUUGAGACUGUUCAGGAAAUAGAGGCAUAUAUGAUGAUGCGUCACUACAAGGGGUUCAGGAAGUAAUGAUGCAUCACCCGCGUAUUGUCCUGUUGGGUUUGCCAGGUUCGGGAAAGGGCACUCAGGCGGCUCUUAUUGCUGAGAAGUUCGGAGUGCCCACCUUUUCGAGUGGUGAGUAUUUCCGGAAUCUGCGGCGGGGGGGC
Molecule: ribosomal RNA, 389 nt
Filed under: uncultured prokaryote
Description: partial 16S ribosomal RNA
Source: RNAcentral